AUGUUGUAUUGGUUGAAACUUCUUCUGAUUCUGUUUUUUGGACGCUAAAGGAGGAGUAUUUACCGCCUGGUUGGCUCUGUCUGGUAUGUGGUGCAUCUGACAAUCAAGAACUUCCUCCAAAUUUUAUAAAGCUCAAAAGAGAUGUAUACACACCAGAUGUGAUGGCAGCAUGUGACUAUAUGAUCGGAAAGAUUGGGUAUGGAACAGUAAGUGAGGCUCUGUCAUACAAGUUUCCUUUCGUAUUUGUACGGAGAGACUUCUUUAAUGAAGAACCGUUCGUUAGAAAUAUGCUUGAGUAUUACCAAAACGGCGUUGAAAUGAUUAGGAGGGAUUUGCUCACAGGACGCUGGGCACCUUACCUUCAUCGUGCAAUUAGUUUGAAA
Long non-coding RNA from Papaver somniferum (opium poppy), 383 nucleotides. RefSeq lists it as uncharacterized. The transcript has 4 exons. The record is from RefSeq and is a predicted model, not a curated record. Lineage: Eukaryota; Viridiplantae; Streptophyta; Magnoliopsida; Ranunculales; Papaveraceae.